Molecule: long non-coding RNA, 657 nt
Filed under: Nicotiana benthamiana
Lineage: Eukaryota; Viridiplantae; Streptophyta; Magnoliopsida; Solanales; Solanaceae
Description: long non-coding RNA (NBEN_LNC013504)
Source: RNAcentral
UUCCUUAUGGGGCUCAAUGACAUCUAUGUGGGAGUCAGAAGCAAUAUUCUUAUGCUACAACCUCCACCAACUCUGGAUUGUGCAUACAAUAUUCUACUCCAAGAUGAGAGACAAAGACAAGUCUUUCACCUUCUCAAUUUCAUCAUGAUUCGAGUGCCUCCAAUGCUCAUUUCAGCAACAAACCCUCCAUCACAAGAUUUCCUCCCACAGCAGCUGGUUACCCUAAACAAUUCAGCCCAAGACUCAAUUCUGAUCCCAAUAGAGCAAACUUAGUUUGUAGGUAUUGUAAGAAACCUGGAAACCUGAUUGAAAAAUGCUAUAAGCUUCAUGGAUUUCCACCAGACUUCAAAUUCACAAGAGGAUUUCCAUCAGACUUCAAAUUCACCAAAGGAAGGAGGAGUGCAGCACAUGUUGAAGUGCAGGGGUGUACAAACCCUGCUGGAACUCAGAACAGUGCUGACAAUGCUGUGUAGGUAUUGAAAGAAACCUGGACACCUGAUUGAAAAAUGCUAUAAACUUCAUGGAUUUCCACCAGACAUCAAAUUCACAAGAGGAUUUCCAUCAGACUUCAAAUUCACCAAAGGAAGGAGGAGUGCAGUGUUAGAAACACGUUCUCAAUGCAAUAUACUAAACGUGUACUCUUUUGUAGGUUUUGAU